This is a small nucleolar RNA of Capra hircus (goat), 122 nucleotides long. Its record names the gene SNORA70. It matches the Rfam family "Small nucleolar RNA SNORA70". From Rfam's summary of the family: snoRNA U70 seems to be exclusive to mammals and is a member of the H/ACA class of snoRNA which contain H (ANANNA) and ACA box motifs. H/ACA box snoRNAs are involved in the conversion of uridines to pseudouridines (5-ribosyluracil) a constituent of structural RNAs (transfer, ribosomal, small nuclear, and small nucleolar). NCBI's taxonomy places the organism in Eukaryota, Metazoa, Chordata, Mammalia, Artiodactyla, Bovidae. The record is from Ensembl.
UUGCAGCCAGUUAAGCCGACUGUGCUCUUUCCACUGUGGGGGCCCCGUGUGCCAUGGCCACAAACAGCAACCUCCUCUGAGGUAUGUACAGCCUGUUGCCCUAAGGGACCUUGGAGGCAGCC